GAUGAACGCUGACAGAAUGCUUAACACAUGCAAGUCAACUUGAAUUUGGGUUUUUAACUUAGGUUUGGGUGGCGGACGGGUGAGUAACGCGUAAAGAACUUGCCUCACAGCUAGGGACAACAUUUGGGAACGAAUGCUAAUACCUAAUAUUAUGAUAAUAGGGCAUCCUAUAAUUAUGAAAGCUAUAAGCGCUGUGAGAGAGCUUUGCGUCCCAUUAGCUAGUUGGAGAGGUAACGGCUCACCAAGGCGAUGAUGGGUAGCCGGCCUGAGAGGGUGAUCGGCCACAAGGGGACUGAGACACGGCCCUUACUCCUACGGGAGGCAGCAGUGGGGAAUAUUGGACAAUGGACCGAGAGUCUGAUCCAGCAAUUCUGUGUGCACGAUGAAGUUUUUCGGAAUGUAAAGUGCUUUCAGUUGGGAAGAAACAAAUGACGGUACCAACAGAAGAAGUGACGGCUAAAUACGUG
Molecule: ribosomal RNA, 467 nt
Filed under: uncultured bacterium
Lineage: Bacteria
Description: partial 16S ribosomal RNA
Rfam family: Bacterial small subunit ribosomal RNA
Source: RNAcentral